This 367-nucleotide ribosomal RNA is filed under the name Tolypothrix sp. PJ S8. Its description in RNAcentral is "bacterial SSU rRNA". It matches the Rfam family "Bacterial small subunit ribosomal RNA", at positions 398 to 781 of the family's 1533-position model. Lineage: Bacteria; Bacillati; Cyanobacteriota; Cyanophyceae; Nostocales; Tolypothrichaceae. The record is from RNAcentral.
CGCGUGAGGGAGGGGCUCUUGGGUUGUAAACCUCUUUUCUCAAGGAAGAAAAAAAUGACGGUACUUGAGGAAUAAGCAUCGGCUAACUCCGUGCCAGCAGCCGCGGUAAUACGGAGGAUGCAAGCGUUAUCCGGAAUGAUUGGGCGUAAAGCGUCCGCAGGUGGCUGUGUAAGUCUGCUGUUAAAUAGUGAGGCUCAACCUCAUAAAGGCAGUGGAAACUACAUGGCUAGAGUGCGUUCGGGGCAGAGGGAAUUCCUGGUGUAGCGGUGAAAUGCGUAGAGAUCAGGAUGAACACCGGUGGCGAAAGUGCUCCUCCUCCCCGCCCCCGACCCUGAGGGACGAAAGCUAUGGGCGCCGAUGGAAAUAA